This 1371-nucleotide ribosomal RNA is filed under the name uncultured bacterium. RNAcentral describes it as "bacterial SSU rRNA". It matches the Rfam family "Bacterial small subunit ribosomal RNA", at positions 28 to 1381 of the family's 1533-position model. The record is from RNAcentral.
GAUGAACGCUGGCGGCGUGCCUAAUACAUGCAAGUCGAGCGAACGGACGAGAAGCUUGCUUCUCUGAUGUUAGCGGCGGACGGGUGAGUAACACGUGGAUAACCUACCUAUAAGACUGGGAUAACUUCGGGAAACCGGAGCUAAUACCGGAUAAUAUUUUGAACCGCAUGGUUCAAAAGUGAAAGACGGUCUUGCUGUCACUUAUAGAUGGAUCCGCGCUGCAUUAGCUAGUUGGUAAGGUAACGGCUUACCAAGGCAACGAUGCAUAGCCGACCUGAGAGGGUGACCGGCCACACUGGAACUGAGACACGGUCCAGACUCCUACGGGAGGCAGCAGUAGGGAAUCUUCCGCAAUGGGCGAAAGCCUGACGGAGCAACGCCGCGUGAGUGAUGAAGGUCUUCGGAUCGUAAAACUCUGUUAUUAGGGAAGAACAUAUGUGUAAGUAACUGUGCACAUCUUGACGGUACCUAAUCAGAAAGCCACGGCUAACUACGUGCCAGCAGCCGCGGUAAUACGUAAGUGGCAAGCGUUAUCCGGAAUUAUUGGGCGUAAAGCGCGCGUAGCGGUUUUUUAGUCUGAUGUGAAAGCCCACGGCUCAACUUUUGGAGGGUCAUUGGAAACUGGAAAACUUGAGUGCAGAAGAGGAAAGUGGAAUUCCAUGUGUAGCGGUGAAAUGCGCAGAGAUGUGGAGGAACACCAGUGGCGAAGGCGACUUUCUGGUCUGUAACUGACGCUGAUGUGCGAAAGCGUGGGGAUCAAACAGGAUUAGAUACCCUGGUAGUCCACGCCGUAAACGAUGAGUGCUAAGUGUUAGGGGGUUUCCGCCCCUUAGUGCUGCAGCUAACGCAUUAAGCACUCCGCCUGGGGAGUACGACCGCAAGGUUGAAACUCAAAGGAAUUGACGGGGACCCGCACAAGCGGUGGAGCAUGUGGUUUAAUUCGAAGCAACGCGAAGAACCUUACCAAAUCUUGACAUCCUUUGACAACUCUAGAGAUAGAGCCUUCCCCUUCGGGGGACAAAGUGACAGGUGGUGCAUGGUUGUCGUCAGCUCGUGUCGUGAGAUGUUGGGUUAAGUCCCGCAACGAUCGCAACCCUUAAGCUUAGUUGCCAUCAUUAAGUUGGGCACUCUAAGUUGACUGCCGGUGACAAACCGGAGGAAGGUGGGGAUGACGUCAAAUCAUCAUGCCCCUUAUGAUUUGGGCUACACACGUGCUACAAUGGACAAUACAAAGGGCAGCGAAACCGCGAGGUCAAGCAAAUCCCCUAAAGUUGUUCUCAGUUCGGAUUGUAGUCUGCAACUCGACUACAUGAAGCUGGAAUCGCUAGUAAUCGUAGAUCAGCAUGCUACGGUGAAUACGUUCCCGGGUCU